Molecule: ribosomal RNA, 467 nt
Filed under: uncultured bacterium
Lineage: Bacteria
Description: partial 16S ribosomal RNA
Rfam family: Bacterial small subunit ribosomal RNA
Source: RNAcentral
GACGAACGCUGGCGGCGUGCUUAACACAUGCAAGUCGAACGGAAAGGCCCUGCUUUUGUGGGGUGCUCGAGUGGCGAACGGGUGAGUAACACGUGAGUAACCUGCCCUUGACUUUGGGGUAACUUCAGGAAACUGGGGCUAAUACCGGAUAGGAGCUCCUGCUGCAUGGUGGGGGUUGGAAAGUUUCGGCGGUUGGGGAUGGACUCGCGGCUUAUCAGCUUGUUGGUGGGGUAGUGGCUUACCAAGGCUUUGACGGGUAGCCGGCCUGAGAGGGUGACCGGCCACAUGGGGACUGAGAUACGGCCCAGACUCCUACGGGAGGCAGCAGUGGGGAAUAUUGCACAAUGGGCGGAAGCCUGAUGCAGCAACGCCGCGUGCGGGAUGACGGCCUUCGGGUUGUAAACCGCUUUCGCCUGUGACGAAGCGUGAGUGACGGUAAUGGGGAAAGAAGCACCGGCUAACUACGU